This 330-nucleotide ribosomal RNA is filed under the name uncultured eukaryote. Its description in RNAcentral is "partial 18S ribosomal RNA". It matches the Rfam family "Eukaryotic small subunit ribosomal RNA", at positions 1470 to 1796 of the family's 1831-position model. The record is from RNAcentral.
CCCUUAGAUGUUCUGGGCCGCACGCGCGCUACACUGAUGCAUUCAACGAGCCUAUCCUUGACCGACAGGUCCGGGUAAUCUUUGAAUCUGCAUCGUGACGGGGAUAGAUUAUUGCAAUUAUUAAUCUUCAACGAGGAAUGCCUAGUAGGCGCAAGUCAUCAGCUUGCGUCGAUUACGUCCCUGCCCUUUGUACACACCGCCCGUCGCUACUACCGAUUGAACGGUUUAGUGAGGGCCUCGGAUUGGUCUCGGCCCGCUCUUCACCGGGCGGCGCCGUUGGUCGAGAAGACGCUCGAACUUGAUCGUUUGGAGGAAGUAAAAGUCGUAACA